Molecule: ribosomal RNA, 102 nt
Filed under: uncultured fungus
Lineage: Eukaryota; Fungi
Description: partial 5.8S ribosomal RNA
Rfam family: 5.8S ribosomal RNA
About the family: 5.8S ribosomal RNA (5.8S rRNA) is a component of the large subunit of the eukaryotic ribosome. It is transcribed by RNA polymerase I as part of the 45S precursor that also contains 18S and 28S rRNA.
Source: RNAcentral
CGAUAAGUAAUGUGAAUUGCAGAAUUCAGUGAAUCAUCGAAUCUUUGAACGCACAUUGCGCCCAUUAGUAUUCUAGUGGGCAUGCCUGUUCGAGCGUCAUUU